Lycium barbarum (goji berry) is the source of this 349-nucleotide long non-coding RNA. RefSeq lists it as uncharacterized. The transcript has 3 exons. NCBI's taxonomy places the organism in Eukaryota, Viridiplantae, Streptophyta, Magnoliopsida, Solanales, Solanaceae. The record is from RefSeq and is a predicted model, not a curated record.
UCUAUGUUAUUUCAGAGAAUUCAUGUCCUUUCACUUCAGGGAUUGCAAGAUGGAAGUCACAACUAUCAACUCCCAUGAAUGUGUUGUAGGAGGAGUUCUUGUGGUGGUUACUCUUCCAAAUGUAUAGAAAUGUGUUGCAGAGGCUUAAACCUGUAAAACAAUGCUACGAACAAAUUAAAGACAAUUGGACUGAUGAAAAUCGUGCUAAUGUUGAUUUCACUACUAAAAUGGGCAGAUUUGCAAAGAAAAUCAAGGGCUUCAGAUCUUGAAUAGCCAGUGGGUUGCGAAUGCUUCCUUCUCCACCUCACAUGGGUUAUUACAUUGAUGAUUCACCUACUAAUAUGAUUAG